ACUCAUAGGUAUGCUAUACCUGCAUUUCAUCAUAAUUAACCAACCACUAAACACUAAUUAGUAUUAUAAUAAUAUUUGUGAUGAUUUUCUGUGUCAUAGUUAACAAAAACUGUUGAUUCAAAGAAUAAUUUGAUUAUUGGAUCACUUUCUCACAAGAUUGCAAGUUUCAUAAAUUUACAAUGUCUUACUGUUUGUUCAACCGUUAAAUCAAUCAGAACAAGAAAUAUGCAAAAGAAAAACUUUGAACUAAAGUAUGGUGGAAUCAUAUACUUAGUAAUUCAUUUGUCAGUAGGCAUAUGCAAAUGUUAAUAUCUGUUAUUGCAUUUCAUAUGCAAAGAUUUUCCAACUGCUAUAUGUUUGGUUUCACUUCUACAAACACUCAACUCGCAUUCAAACGCCAAUCGACCGUGAUAGCUUUGAUACUAACGCGCGUUGAACACACACCCGCGGCAAAAAUAAACAAGCAUUUCAAUCUACACGGAGUAUCCAGCUUGAAUACCGUUACUCUCCACAAAAUAAAAGACGGUAACAUGAAAAUGCAAUCAAUUUAAAACACAAUCACACAUGAA
Molecule: long non-coding RNA, 569 nt
Filed under: Medicago truncatula (barrel medic)
Lineage: Eukaryota; Viridiplantae; Streptophyta; Magnoliopsida; Fabales; Fabaceae
Description: lncRNA gene671
Source: RNAcentral